UAUUAUAAACCUGUAAUAAGCAAUAAUUUCUGAAUUUACAGUACUAAUCAUAAGGUAAAAUGUAUUGAUGUUUUUCCAUGUUUACAUUUAAUGUGUGAAGAAUGUAGGGAGGAAUAUCAUUUAUAUGCAAGGAUUUUCUUAUUUCCUUGGUGUUUAAUACUUCCAUUUAUGUAUAAUCACAUUUAAUUAUCAUUGAUAUAAAACUUCCUUUUAAAGAAGGAUGGUUCUGUUUUACACUGUUUCUGCUAUAUAUGUGGCAUUAUUGAAGAAUUAAUUAAUGUAAGGUACAAAAUUAUCAGCCGUUAUCAUUUGCAGAAAAAUAUUUCUCAUUUAUUCAGAAGACAUAUAGAUAUACUUUACAUGCCAACAAUUAAAAACCAAAUAUAAUCCUUGUUGUGGUUGUGACAGUAUUUACAUCUUUUACAUCUUUUUAUUUUUGUUUAUUGUUUAUAUUUUAUAGCUAUAUACCAUUAAUUUAUAGCUAUAUAAUAUUAUUUAUAGCUAUAUACCAUUAAUUGUAAUAAUAAAUUUUAUAACAUAGUUCCAAAUAUUCCCCUCAAUUUUUAGGAUAAUAAUAACUUAAAUUACAACUUAUUUAAGUAUCAUGGACUUGUUGCUAACUAGUGUAUUUUCAUUUAUUUUCUUUAUUAUGGUGAAUUUAUUUCAAAUCUGUAGAUAGUUGUUAAUAUUUAUAUAUUUAGUUUUAUUUCAUCAUGCCUAAUAUUUUGUCAAUAUAUUUUUGACAUUUCAUUUCUAUAAUAACUGUUUCUGAAAAUAAAUACUAGUUGAUGUUGAUAUCUAAAUUGACAAAUUUUAUUUGUUAUCAUCAGGGUUAAGAUAUUAUUAUCUAAAUUCACAGGAAGGGCAUCUGCUUUAGUUUUAAUAGGAUUUUCAUUUUUUUGAAACGUGCAAUAUUUUGAAAAUUUUUAUUUAGAAUUUUCACAGAUAGCCAAACUUAAAUCAAAAGACAAUAUAUGAGUUCAAUUAAGGAGUUCGAAAACAGGAAUGCAAUUAUCUUAGUAUAUCUUGCCUCAUUAAAUUGUUUUGAGCUCUUCAUUUAUAUUUUCAGGUUAGAUUUAGUGUUUAUUCUGUUCUGAUUAACUGAAGAACAAACAGCUUUAAACUAGAUCUCAGUUUAUAUUUUACUUUAUGUAUAUUAAGUUAUGCACUUGUUAUCUUUCUUUUCAGAUAGUUAAAAAUCUGUCAGUUUUCACAUUUAUCUUUCAAUUUGUAACUGAAGAGUUAUCUCCCAUUAAGUGUACAUGUUAACUGAAUAAAAAUGAUCAAAG
This 1289-nucleotide long non-coding RNA is filed under the name Mytilus galloprovincialis (Mediterranean mussel). Lineage: Eukaryota; Metazoa; Mollusca; Bivalvia; Mytilida; Mytilidae. The record is from RNAcentral.